AAGGGUAUAGCUCAGUGGUAGAGCACAUGCUUAGCAGUGCACAAGGUCCUGGGUUCCAUCCUCAGUAUGUUUA
This 73-nucleotide transfer RNA is filed under the name Camelus bactrianus (Bactrian camel). It matches the Rfam family "tRNA". From Rfam's summary of the family: Transfer RNA (tRNA) molecules are approximately 80 nucleotides in length. Their secondary structure includes four short double-helical elements and three loops (D, anti-codon, and T loops). Lineage: Eukaryota; Metazoa; Chordata; Mammalia; Artiodactyla; Camelidae. RNAcentral also lists the same sequence under 2 other names. The record is from Rfam by way of RNAcentral.